GAGUGGUGGGAAGGCUGGGAAGGACGUGAAAUCCAUGCCGGUUACAAAUGGCACCUCAGUCGGUUGACGACAUAUGGGAUUUAAAAACUGCCUUGAAAAUAUAUUUUACGAAGACUUCACAUGCUUAUUUUAGUUCGUAUGGCGCUUAGAUAUAUCACAUUGUGUUGAUGAAACUUCAAUCUUUUGACUUGUAUUCUUAAAGAUGUAAUUGUAUUCUUGUUUCACCAAUUAAAUAUUGAGUGAAUAAGGCUGAUCCACCCGAUGACAAUGGAUCCAAGGCUGUGUUUCCCCCAAGUAUAAACAUAAAAAAGGGCAUAUUAAAAAAAUUUAAAGGCAGCAAUUAUCCAGGGUUGCAACGUAUGGGAACCAUGCUGCAUUAGUAGUUUUCAGUUUUACUUUAUACCUAGUCUACACUAGAGCAUUUUUUAUUUCAUUUGCAUAGUGUACUGCUAGGCUAGACCUAGGAUAUGCACUAAAUAUUUUUGUCAUCAAAAGUGUUGAUUGUGAUUUUGGUAAAAUUUUACUCAAAAGCACUAGUACUUAUUUUUUACACGAAAAUAUCCUUUCCCUAUUUUUUAAUGUAUGCGUUGAACAUUUGUGAUGUUCGCUUUGUUUGCAAAUGACCUAACCAACCACACCUAAUUAACCUAAGAUACAGGAUUCUUACCUUACUGUGCGGUACUAUUGGGUGGUUGGUUAGGUCAUUUGCAAUCAAGAUGAAUGACAGAAAGAUUAAAAGCAAACAUUGAAACAGGGAAAUAUUUUCAUACCCAAUAUUUUAUAAUUGUUUAGAAUAAACAUUUUACCUGUAGCAGAAGUUUUUUUUUUUUUAGGUUAAGCAAUGACUGUAGGGUAUAGCUUAGUACAUUAAUUGGAAAUAAGUUGGGAAAUCCAGCCUAACAGAACCUGAAAUAACUUUGUGCAUUGACUAACCUGGAUGAUAGGCUUUUAUCGUCAGUAGAUAGAUUAUUAUAGUUAUCAUGUAUAGGCUGUUUCAGUGUAAGUUAUGGUAGGGUUUCAUAAAUAUUCAGUAUAGAAGCUGAAGUCAGUUCAGUAGUCAGUUAAUGAGAUAUUAUUUACCUAAGACAACUUUUUAUUUCAGUGCCCGGUUGGGGAGGAUCUCACGUUCAAGGAUUUGGUGAAGAACCUGGAAUAAAGACCCAAAUAUUCCAUUUUAUUCGGUCAAUUAAAACUGUUAUGAAGUAAGGAAACCUAAUACAUAUGAAAGCAAGCAAACAUUUGUUAAAAGAGUGGAUUUUUCACAAACAAAACAUCCUCUAACUGAAUUGUCCAUAACGCAGAUCCGCUGAUACCUGUGAAUAUUUUUGUCAUCCUGUUCAAGCUUAUUUUUGGCUGAAAGUAUGUGGAAUUGUUAAGAAAAAAAUAUUGUACUACUGUUCUAUCAAGGAAAUGUUUGCUGCAGACCAAGCAUGCUGUCGAACUGUGAUGCUCAGGAAGUCGUAUUUUUGUGGAUGAAUUGUUUUUGUAUGGAUAUUGAAAUAUAUUAGGUUUUUUUA
Macrobrachium nipponense is the source of this 1517-nucleotide long non-coding RNA. RefSeq lists it as uncharacterized. Lineage: Eukaryota; Metazoa; Arthropoda; Malacostraca; Decapoda; Palaemonidae. The record is from RefSeq and is a predicted model, not a curated record. The transcript is spliced from 3 exons.